GAAGGUCUAAGACUGGGCCCUCCUGUAGACCUAACCAGGCUUUCCCUGAGUUGGGAGGUGAGUUCCCGGAGAGCAGGGCUCCACGCCUGGACACACUGGACAGGAGAGUCCCCAAAUGGGCCCAGGUCUCCCUCACCAGAGCUUGCAACUGACUCCUGGCUACUCAUUAUUUUCAGUAAAUGGCUACCCUUCUUGCUAGGAGAAGUGCUCGCUCCCUGUCUGAACAGAUAUGGUCUCUGAGCGGUUGGGGAUUUAGCUCAGUGGUAGAGCGCUUGCCUAGCAAACGCAA
Non-coding RNA from Rattus norvegicus (Norway rat), 289 nucleotides. Ensembl annotates it as Nuclear RNase P. The record is from Ensembl. NCBI's taxonomy places the organism in Eukaryota, Metazoa, Chordata, Mammalia, Rodentia, Muridae.